Molecule: non-coding RNA, 75 nt
Organism: Hypoxylon sp. FL1150
Lineage: Eukaryota; Fungi; Ascomycota; Sordariomycetes; Xylariales; Hypoxylaceae
Source: the annotation of a GenBank genome assembly
GCAUUUGUAGCUCAAGCGGGAAGAGCGUGAGACUUAGAGUCUCAAAGGUUCCAGGUUCGAUCCCUGGCAUAUGCU